UGUUAAAGGGGCACUAGCUGUCAAAUUCAUGGUCAUCGAUUUGACUCAAAUUCUCAUAUUUGAUUUAUAACAAUGUAAAACAUUUAUCCAAACUAUCAAAAGUCUAAAAUAAACAGUUUACAGAGCAUGUAGUAGAUAAUAUAUAGGUUCAUUUUGUGUGUAUUUUAGUCCAGACGCCAUCUAAUUAACUAUCGAUUUGACCUCAGAUGACCAUAUAAGCGAUGUAAACAUAAAUAAAGAUAUGAAUAGAUUAAACCAACACAUGCAAUUGGAUUUUUAUAGGUCUGUUUGAUUUUAUU
Molecule: long non-coding RNA, 299 nt
Filed under: Mytilus galloprovincialis (Mediterranean mussel)
Lineage: Eukaryota; Metazoa; Mollusca; Bivalvia; Mytilida; Mytilidae
Source: RNAcentral